This 253-nucleotide ribosomal RNA is filed under the name uncultured bacterium. Its description in RNAcentral is "partial 16S ribosomal RNA". It matches the Rfam family "Bacterial small subunit ribosomal RNA", at positions 524 to 776 of the family's 1533-position model. The record is from RNAcentral.
UACGUAGGGUGCAAGCGUUAAUCGGAAUUACUGGGCGUAAAGCGUGCGCAGGCGGUUAUGCAAGUCAGAUGUGAAAUCCCCGGGCUCAACCUGGGAACUGCCUUUGUGACUGCAUAGCUAGAGUACGGUAGAGGGGGAUGGAAUUCCGCGUGUAGCAGUGAAAUGCGUAGAUAUGCGGAGGAACACCGAUGGCGAAGGCAAUCCCCUGGACCUGUACUGACGCUCAUGCAUGAAAGCGUGGGGAGCAAACAGG